GACGAACGCUGGCGGCGUGCUUAACACAUGCAAGUCGAACGGAAAGUCCCUGCUUUUGUGGGGUGCUCGAGUGGCGAACGGGUGAGUAACACGUGAGUAACCUGCCCUUUACUUUGGGAUAACUUCAUGAAACUUGGGCUAAUACCGGAUAGGAGCUCCUGCUUCAUGGUGGGGGUUGGAAAGUUUCGGCGGUUGGGGAUGGACUCGCGGCUUAUCAGCUUGUUGGUGGGGUAGUGGCUUACCAAGGCUUUGACGGGUAGCCGGCCUGAGAGGGUGAACGGCCACAUUGGGACUGAGAUACGGCCCAGACUCCUACGGGAGGCAGCAGUGGGGAAUAAUGCAAAAUGGGCGGAAGCCUGAGGCAGCAACGCCGCGUGCGGGAUGACGGCCUUCGGGUUGUAAACCGCUUUCGCCUGUGACGAAGCGUGAGUGACGGUAAUGGGUAAAGAAGCACCGGCUAACUACGUG
RNAcentral lists this ribosomal RNA (468 nucleotides) under uncultured bacterium. Its description in RNAcentral is "partial 16S ribosomal RNA". It matches the Rfam family "Bacterial small subunit ribosomal RNA", at positions 28 to 507 of the family's 1533-position model. The record is from RNAcentral.